This is a non-coding RNA of Canis lupus familiaris (dog), 126 nucleotides long. Lineage: Eukaryota; Metazoa; Chordata; Mammalia; Carnivora; Canidae. The record is from Rfam.
AGCUUUGCACAGUGGCAGUAUCGUAGCCAAUGAGGUUUUUCCAAGGUGCGCUUAUUGCUAAUUGAAAACUUUUCUACUGACUGACCCAGCCAGGUGCUCUGUGAAUCUUUAUUUUUUACUGUGUGU